GUGAUUACAGAACGCAGUGAGGGAAAUCAGUUUUGCUCCGUUCCACUUAUUUACGUGAUUCCAUAACGUAUUUUAGUCUGUGGUUGCUUGGUGAUGCUCAAAGUUUGCUGAGAACUAUUUCUUUGACGGAGAAGAAACAAACUAAUUGGCUGUUUUAUGUUAAAAAUCAGAUCCAAAUCGACAUAUUGCGGUUUCAGAACACAAAGUUUGCAGCAUCUUGAAACCCCAUGAUGACCCAUCACCUUAAUGCCAUGGAAAAGAGUGGUGUCAACAUUCUGCUACAGUAAACGUCUCCUUUGCUAUUUCAAGUUUUCAUGUUCUUCAAAAAUUGAGCCUAUGGGUACCUGUUUUUUCAUUUCCUGUUGAGAACCAUGCUGGGAUUCCUCACAAAUUCAAUAAGAGCAAAAUAACCCUGUGUGAUAAACAUCAAAGCUGCCACAUUUAAAAAGGAAGGACCAUAUGAUGAAAA
Molecule: non-coding RNA, 469 nt
Organism: Pimephales promelas (fathead minnow)
Lineage: Eukaryota; Metazoa; Chordata; Actinopteri; Cypriniformes; Leuciscidae
Source: RefSeq, a predicted model, not a curated record